This 1008-nucleotide long non-coding RNA is filed under the name Sus scrofa (pig). RNAcentral's name for it is "lncRNA (ENSSSCG00070003314.1)". Lineage: Eukaryota; Metazoa; Chordata; Mammalia; Artiodactyla; Suidae. The record is from RNAcentral.
AUGAGCUGUGGUGUAGGUCACAUGCAGCUCGGAUUUGACAUUGCUGUGGCCGUGAUGAAGGCCAGCGGCUAUAGUUGCAAUUUGAUCCCUAGCCUGGGAACCUCCAUAUGCAGCAGGUGCAGCCCUAAAAAGACCAAAAAAAAAAUUUUUUUUUGAUCAUAAACAUGAGGAUUUGUUUCUUGGAGUUCCUAUUGUGGCUCAGUGGUAAUAAACCUGACACUAGUAUCCAUGAGGAUGUGAGUUCAAUCCCUGGCUCCCAUCCAUGGGUUAAAUAUCUGGCGUUGCUGUGAGCAGCUUUCAGACAUGGCUUGGGUCCUGCAUUGCUGUGGUGUUGGCCAGCAGCUGCAGCUCCAAUUCGAACACUAGCCUGGGAACUUCCAUGUGCUGCAUGUGCGGCCCUAAAAAGCAAAAAGAAAAAAGAGAGAGUUUAUUUCUGGACUCUAAGUUUUAUACUCUGGUAGUAAGUUAUGAAACCAGAAGUUUGAAACCUCCAACUUAGUUCUUUUUCAAGAUUAUUUUGGCAAUUCUGAGUCCCUUGCAUUUACCUAUGGUUUUAAGGUCAGGUUGUUGAUUUCUGGGGGGGAGAAAAAAGGCGAAUGAAAUUCUGAUUGGCAUUGUGUUUAAUCUGUAGGUCAGUUUAGGGAGUAUUGCCAUCUUAAAAAUAUCGUCUUCUAUGGAGUUCCCAUUGGCUCAGUGGUUAAGAAACUAGCUAGUAUCCAUGAGGAUGCAGGUUCAUUCCCUGGCCAAGCUCGGUGGGUUAAGGAUCUGGUGUUGCUGCAAGCUUGCAGAUGCAACUCAAAUCUGCUGUGGCUGUGGUGUAAACCAGCAGCUGCAGCUCUGAUUCAGCCACUAGCCCAGGAACUUCCAUGUGCCACAGGUGCGGCCCUAAAAAGCAAAAAAAAAAGAAAUCUACAGCUAACAUCAUAUUUAAUGAUGAGAAACAUAAAGCUUUUCCACUAAGAUCAGGUACAAGGUAAGGAUAUCUGCUCUUGGCACUCCUUUCAGCAU